UAUCCUGUCUCAGGAUGAACGCUAGCUACAGGCUUAACACAUGCAAGUCGAGGGGCAGCAUGGUCUUAGCUUGCUAAGGCCGAUGGCGACCGGCGCACGGGUGAGUAACACGUAUCCAACCUGCCGUCUACUCUUGGACAGCCUUCUGAAAGGAAGAUUAAUACAAGAUGGCAUCAUGAGUCCGCAUGUUCACAUGAUUAAAGGUAUUCCGGUAGACGAUGGGUG
RNAcentral lists this ribosomal RNA (225 nucleotides) under uncultured bacterium. RNAcentral's name for it is "partial 16S ribosomal RNA". It matches the Rfam family "Bacterial small subunit ribosomal RNA", at positions 15 to 231 of the family's 1533-position model. The record is from RNAcentral.